This 492-nucleotide ribosomal RNA is filed under the name uncultured eukaryote. RNAcentral's name for it is "eukaryotic LSU rRNA". It matches the Rfam family "Eukaryotic large subunit ribosomal RNA", at positions 670 to 1160 of the family's 3401-position model. The record is from RNAcentral.
GGAGUCUAACGCGCGCGCGAGCGAGAGGGCGAGAGGCCCAUCCGCGCAACGAAAGCGAAUGGCGGGACGCUCUCCCGCAGGGGGGCGGCGCCGCCGGCCGGACGUCCUCGAGGCGGACCGAGCCGGAGCGCUCGCGUCGGGACCCGAAAGGUGGUGAUCUAUCCGUGCGCGCGGCGAAGCCGGGGGAAACCCCGGUGGAGGCCCGUCGACGGUACUGACGUGCAAAUCGUUCGUCCGACGUGCGAAGUAGGGGACGAAAGACCAAUCGAACCUCCUAGUAGCUGGUUUCCGCCGAAAUUUCCCUCAGGAUAGCGGCCAUCGCGGAAACGUUUUGACCGGUAGAGCGAACGACUAGAGGUACCGGGGCCGUAACGGCCUCGACCUAUUCUCGAACUCCGAACGGGCAAGGAGCCGGGGUCGCCCGAUCGGACCCCGGACGUGAAGUCGACGAUGGUCGGUGGGCUGGUUUUGGUAAGCAGAACGGGCGAGUUC